This is a long non-coding RNA of Oncorhynchus keta (chum salmon), 434 nucleotides long. RefSeq lists it as uncharacterized. The transcript is spliced from 3 exons. NCBI's taxonomy places the organism in Eukaryota, Metazoa, Chordata, Actinopteri, Salmoniformes, Salmonidae. The record is from RefSeq and is a predicted model, not a curated record.
UCUUUCCUACUGAUGAGUCAACAGGGUCAACAGAAGGUAGGCUCUGAGGGUCAGGUCUUUCCUACUGAUGAGUCAACAGGGUCAACAGAAGGUAGGCUCUGAGGGUCAGGUCUUUCCUACAGAUGAGUCAACAGGGUCAAUAGCAGGUAGGCUCUGAGGGUCAGGUCUUUCCUACUGAUGAGUCAACAGGGUCAAUAGAAGGUAGGCUCUGAGGGUCAGGUCUUUCCUACUGAUGAGUCAACAGGGUCAAUAGAAGGUAGGCUCUGAGGGUCAGGUCUUUCCUACUGAUGAGUCAACAGGGUCAAUAGAAGGUAGGCUCUGAGGGUCAGGUCUUUCCUACUGAUGAGUCAACAGGGUCAACAGAAGGUAGGCUCUGAGGGUCAGGUCUUUCCUACUGAUGAGUCAACAGGGUCAAUAGAAGGUCGGCUCUGAGG